Molecule: ribosomal RNA, 253 nt
Filed under: uncultured bacterium
Lineage: Bacteria
Description: partial 16S ribosomal RNA
Rfam family: Bacterial small subunit ribosomal RNA
Source: RNAcentral
UACAGAGGGUGCGAGCGUUAAUCGGAUUUACUGGGCGUAAAGGGUGCGUAGGCGGUGAGAUGAGUGUGAUGUGAAAGCCCCGGGCUUAACCUGGGAAGUGCAUCGCAAACGAUCUGACUGGAGUAUAUGAGAGGGUGGCGGAAUUUCCGGUGUAGCGGUGAAAUGCGUAGAGAUCGGAAGGAACGUCGAUGGCGAAGGCAGCCACCUGGCAUAAUACUGACGCUGAGGCACGAAAGCGUGGGGAGCGAACAGG